RNAcentral lists this long non-coding RNA (524 nucleotides) under Ananas comosus (pineapple). Its description in RNAcentral is "long non-coding RNA (ACOM_LNC037140)". The record is from RNAcentral. Lineage: Eukaryota; Viridiplantae; Streptophyta; Magnoliopsida; Poales; Bromeliaceae.
UUAGGGACACAGAAGGGUCUCAACCUUCUAUCUAGUUUUCUUAGCGAGCAGUGUGUGACGGAUUUAGGGGCCGUUUGGUUGCAUGUGAUUACAACUGUACUGUAGUUGUAACUACAUAUAAAUAUAAAUUUCGUCUUUGAUUUGAUGUAUUUAACUACAAUUGCUGCAAUAGGAACCGCAGGAGGAGGCCCAACUGCAGCAGUUUGAACUACGCCCAAAUUGACCGCAGUUCCAACUACAGCAAUUGGAGAGAAUAAUUUUAAAUAAAAGAUAUGCUUACCUCCUUAAUAUUUUUUAAACAAAAAUUAUUUUAUUUUUUACAUUGGAGGUAAUCUCACCAUCAUAUAUAUAAAAUAAUAAAAUUUUUAAAAUUAUUUCUCAACUGCAUGCAACCAAAUAAAUUAUUUAUACUUGCAGCGCUUUCUACUACAUCCAACCAAAUAAUAUUCAUGUAGUUAUAACUGCUGUAUUUUCAACUGCAUGCAUCUUUAACUACACUGCAUUUAUAAUUAAUCUAACCAAAC